Molecule: transfer RNA, 83 nt
Filed under: Danionella translucida
Lineage: Eukaryota; Metazoa; Chordata; Actinopteri; Cypriniformes; Danionidae
Also listed under: 1 other name
Rfam family: tRNA
About the family: Transfer RNA (tRNA) molecules are approximately 80 nucleotides in length. Their secondary structure includes four short double-helical elements and three loops (D, anti-codon, and T loops). Further hydrogen bonds mediate the characteristic L-shaped molecular structure. tRNAs have two regions of fundamental functional importance: the anti-codon, which is responsible for specific mRNA codon recognition, and the 3' end, to which the tRNAs corresponding amino acid is attached (by aminoacyl-tRNA synthetases). tRNAs cope with the degeneracy of the genetic code in two manners: having more than one tRNA (with a specific anti-codon) for a particular amino acid; and 'wobble' base-pairing, i.e. permitting non-standard base-pairing at the 3rd anti-codon position.
Source: Rfam by way of RNAcentral
GGCAGGAUGGCCGAGCGGUCUAAGGUGCUGCGUUCAGGUCGCUGUCUCCAAUGGAGGCGUGGGUUCAAAUCCCAUUUCUGACA